AGUCGAGCGGAACGAAAGUAGCUUGCUACUAGGCGUCGAGCGGCGGACGGGUGAGUAAUGCUUAGGAAUCUACCGAGUAGUGGGGGAUAGCCAUUGGAAACGAUGAUUAAUACCGCAUAUAUCCUACGGGGGAAAGCAGGGGACCUUCGGGCCUUGCGCUAUUCGAUGAGCCUGAGUGAGAUUAGCUAGUUGGUGGGGUAAAGGCCUACCAAGGCGACGAUCUCUAGCUGGUCUGAGAGGAUGAUCAGCCACACUGGGACUGAGACACGGCCCAGACUCCUACGGGAGGCAGCAGUGGGGAAUAUUGCACAAUGGGCGAAAGCCUGAUGCAGCCAUGCCGCGUGUGUGAAGAAGGCCUUCGGGUUGUAAAGCACUUUCAGCGAGGAGGAAAGGUUAGUAGUUAAUAACUGCUAGCUGUGACGUUACUCGCAGAAGAAGCACCGGCUAAUUUAGUGCCAGCAGCCGCGGUAAUACUAAAGGUGCAAGCGUUAAUCGGAAUUACUGGGCGUAAAGCGCGCGUAGGUGGUUUGUUAAGUUGGAUGUGAAAGCCCAGGGCUCAACCUUGGAACUGCAUUCAAAACUGACUCACUAGAGUACGAGAGAGGUUAGUGGAAUUUCCUGUGUAGCGGUGAAAUGCGUAGAGAUGGGAAGGAACACCAGUGGCGAAGGCGACUGACUGGCUCGAUACUGACACUGAGGUGCGAAAGCGUGGGGAGCAAACGGGAUUAGAUACCCCGGUAGUCCACGCCGUAAACGAUGUCUACUAGCCGUUGGAGGACUUGAUCCUUUAGUGGCGCAGCUAACGCGAUAAGUAGACCGCCUGGGGAGUACGGUCGCAAGAUUAAAACUCAAAUGAAUUGACGGGGGCCCGCACANNNNNNNGAGCAUGUGGUUUAAUUCGAAGCAACGCGAAGAACCUUACCUACUCUUGACAUCNNNNNNACUUAGCAGAGAUGCUUUGGUGCCUUCGGGAACNNNNNNACAGGUGCUGCAUGG
This 996-nucleotide ribosomal RNA is filed under the name uncultured bacterium. RNAcentral describes it as "bacterial SSU rRNA". It matches the Rfam family "Bacterial small subunit ribosomal RNA", at positions 60 to 1048 of the family's 1533-position model. The record is from RNAcentral.